AUGAGCACGGACGCGGACGCCGUGCCGGUGGCCGUGGCGCCGGCGAAGCGCCCUCCCAUCAACAAGUACGCCUUCGCCUGCGCCCUCCUCGCCUCCAUGAACUCCGUCCUCCUCGGAUACGACAUCUCGGUGAUGAGCGGCGCGCAGCUGUUCAUGAAGGAGGACCUGAAGAUCACGGACACACAGAUCGAGAUCCUGGCCGGCAUCAUCAGCAUCUACUCGCUGCUGGGCUCGCUCAUGGCGGGGCUCACGUCCGACUGGCUGGGCCGGCGCUACACCAUGGUGCUGGCGGCCGCCAUCUUCUUCACGGGCGCCCUCCUCAUGGGCCUCGCCCCCAACUACGCCUUCCUCAUGGCCGGCCGCUUCGUCGCCGGCAUCGGCGUCGGCUACGCGCUCAUGAUCGCGCCCGUCUACACGGCCGAGGUGGCGCCCACCUCCUCCCGCGGCUUCCUCACCACCUUCCCGGAGGUGUUCAACAACUUCGGCAUCCUCCUGGGCUACGUCUCCAACUUCGCCUUCGCGCGCCUCCCCGUGCACCUCAGCUGGCGCGCCAUGUUCCUCGUCGGCGCCGUGCCGCCGGUGUUCCUCGGCUUCGCCGUCCUCGCCAUGCCGGAGUCACCCCGGUGGCUGGUCAUGCGGGGCCGGAUCGAGGACGCGCGGCGUGUCCUGCUGAGGACCUCCGAUUCGCCCGAGGAGGCCGAGGAACGGCUCCUCGACAUCAAGAAGGUCGUCGGCAUCCCCGCGGACGCCACGGACGCCGAUGAUGUCGUCGCCAUCGUGCGCGCGAACGAGGCCGCGCGCGGGCAGGGGGUGUGGAAGGAGCUGCUGAUCAACCCGAGCCGGCCCGUGCGCCGCAUGCUCGUGGCCGGCCUCGGGCUCAUGUUCAUCCAGCAGGCCACGGGCGUGGACUGCGUGGUGAUGUACAGCCCGCGGGUGUUCGAGAAGGCAGGGAUGAAGAACAGGACCAACUCGCUGGGGGCGUCCAUGGCGGUGGGCGCGUGCAAGACCUUCUUCAUCCCGAUCGCGACGCUCCUCCUCGACCGGGUCGGCCGGAGGCCGCUGCUGCUGGCCAGCGGCGGCGGGAUGGCCAUCUUCCUGUUCACGCUCGCCACGUCCCUGCUCAUGCUCGACCGGCGGCCGGAGUCGGAGGCGAAGGCGCUGGGCGCGGUGAGCAUCGUGGCGAUGCUGUCGUUCGUGGCGUCGUUCGCGUCGGGGCUGGGCCCCGUGGCCUGGGUGUACUGCUCGGAGAUCUACCCGCUGCGGCUGCGCGCGCAGGCCGCCGCCAUCGGCACGGGCCUGAACCGGCUCAUGGGCGGGGCCACCACCAUGUCCUUCCUGUCGCUCAGCGAGGCCAUCACCAUCGCCGGGAGCUUCUACCUGUACGCCUGCGUGGCGGCCGCCGGGUGGGUGUUCAUGUACUUCUUCCUGCCGGAGACGAUGGGCCAGAGCCUGGAGGACACCGGGAAGCUCUUCGGCAAGGACAUGGACGACGACGACACCGACCACGACGGCGCCGUCGUGCACCACGAGCGCAAGAGGUCCACCGAGCUGAUCACUCAGCAGUAA
Molecule: ribosomal RNA, 1566 nt
Filed under: Triticum aestivum (bread wheat)
Lineage: Eukaryota; Viridiplantae; Streptophyta; Magnoliopsida; Poales; Poaceae
Description: partial small subunit ribosomal RNA
Source: RNAcentral